ACUUCGCCUGGAGCAACUGAACCAAGGAUCCAUGACAUGAGACUUAGAUUUAGAAUCCAAUGUAGCUCAGCUGUUAGUGUCAAUCGUGCUAGCCAUCAGAAUCAGAGGGUAGCUCGGCUGAUUCUAGCCUAGUCUAGUUUUGAAUUUGGUCUCUAAAGUCAAAAGUGGGCAAUGUGGCUAUACGUGUCUGAAUUAUUAUAUUAUCAAUAGAAAUUUCAUUUUAAUUAUGUUCCUUCUCAGUGAAUUUGUCUUCGUUUCAUCUGAAAAUGCACCGAGCACGACCGGGAAGCUACCAUGCUUGCAACCAUGAUGUUGCCGGCCGCCACCCGCUCGGUUCAGAGGCUUGCUCGACAACCGAUGUCCAGAUGAGGGAUGGUUAUUGUUAGAGAAUUCAGAUCAUAUAUGCCACCUUAUAUAUGUCAGUGUUGCAAAAUUGCCAUCUCGCCGCAUAUCACCAUCAUAUAGACAACCUUAUAUCAAGAAUGAAAGAAAAAAACUCAAAUCAUUUCUUCGAAAACAAAUGCCUCAUUGUAUUUGAUACUGAAACCCCAUGUUAAAUAUCAUCAAUAGAAGAUUUGUUUUAGUUGCAUUCCUUGUCCGCAAAUUUCUUCAGUAUCCACUGAUUUCUAAUCAAAAUUUAUUACUUGCUGACGGAAGAUAAAUGGAUUUGUUCAACAAAAAGGAAAGAUGAAUGAGCAGUGUUAGAGAAUUCAGAUCAUAUGCCACCUUGGAUAUAUCAAGAUAAAAAAAAAGCAGUGAGUCGUAGAUUCCUGAGACAAAACCAAAAUCAGAUCAUUUCCUUGUCAAACUUUUACAUAAACGGAAUGAAAAUUUGUGGAUCAGCAGCUGGCACAACCCAUACGUCAGAGUGUAGCUCAAAGACAAGCACAAGGAAGGACUAACCAUGGUUUGGGUGGGUCAGUUACAUGGUGCUCAAAGAUUAGCAAAAUCUACCCAGUCCUUGGUUUCUACCUUAUGUGCACCUUGAAGUGCACCUUCAGGCCAAUAAGACCAAGGCUGCUGUUAACAUCACACCAGCUGAUGUAAAUAUGCAUAGGCAUUUCACUUUGUUGUGUUUAUGUGUUUCUUGAUCAUGUUCAAGAUCUCCAUAACCUGUGAAAGCAAGACUACAAUUAGCAACCGACAGAACGGUCAAAAUCAUAAUUUGUAAGAGUGCAAGAAAAUUAUGCUGUCCCGAUGGAUGCCAGCAAUUCCUAGGACACUAGCCUGAUAUGGAGCAACAUGCAAAAGGCAAAUUCAUUAAUAAAGAGGAAAAUCUGAUUAGAAUUUCUGUUAACAUCCAUGUUAUAUGAAUUUGUGCUUUUAGCAAAUCGUUUUGGUCGACAUCAAACAUAGAUGAACUAUAGAUUAUCGAGACUUACUCCAGUAUAGUGUUGCAAAACUGGAGAAUAGUUGUCGAGCCCAAUAUAGUUUUUGCAAGAAGAUCCGUUAAGGCCUCCUACUUGUUGCAUUUGGCAUGCAAAGGAAUAUACCUGGAACAGAAGCAAUAAAGUGUUACUAGUCAUUAUGAUCUGAAAUUAUAUUUACCUCUAGCCCAGUCUUUUGAAGAUUAGAGCCUCUUGUCUCAGAUAUCUCCUUGCAUCGCAAUGUCUUUCUUUUUAAAGGAUUGUCUUCUUUCGUGAGGUGUUUACAUUGAUCUUUCAUUCAGUAAACAAAACCCGUCAAAGAAAAUGACACCUCCUUAUUCACAGAAAUACAACAUAGAACAGUCAUAAGUACUAUGAACUAUAAAGGUAAUCAUAUGGCAAGAUUGGUUAAGAUAAAAUUAACUAUAAUCAAGUAAUCUAGUUUUCACAAAAAUAAACAGGUACCCCAGUACUUAAUGCAAUGCAAAUACAAGCACCUUGAUUCACUAUGCUGAAUUUUGUUUGCAAUGAUAGUCUGUUGAUCUAUAACAAGAUUUUUAAACUCUCUCAUAGAUUCAAUAAGACUUGUUAUGCGUUCUUUGAACUCUUUUUUUCUUUAUAAAUGGUUGACAUGAAUAUUUUCUCCUUUUCUUUGAUGAGGUUACCUAAAUAUUGAUUAUGUUUCUCGACCUCCUUUAGAGAGUCUGUAGCAUUUCUAAAUCUUUCAAGUAACUUACUCAAAUUUAUCUCACUUUGACAUACAUGCUGGAGACCUUACUCCAGCCUGCCGACAAUCACAUAAUUUUUUUCCCCAGAUAUACAGUUAACUUUGUCUGUAAGUAAAUCAAGUUGAUGCAAUAGUAAAUCCAUAUGACCCUUCAUUGCUCCGAAUUCGAUCUGACACGCCUCUUUUCCCCUCACUUCCUUUACUUAAAUGCCUUGCUUCAUAUUAUGCUCCAUCUCAUUACCAUGUAACUGUAUUUCUAUUUCAUUAACGAUCUCUCUUAGUACAAUCAUCUCUAUCACUUCUCUAAUGAUGGUUGCCAUCCUGGUGUCCUCAAUGUAGACUCUAACACGCCAAUUUUCUUUGUAGGAUCUGGCUCUAUGGUAUAGAUGCAAUAAUGUGUGAUGCCUGGGUGGGAAAAGCACACACUUCUACUUAACUAUUAGUGGAAGCACCUUGUAUUUGCUGGAUUUGAGAAUCUAAAACAUUGCUCUUGUCUUGUCGGCCAACAAAUGUUUAUGCCUUGAUGCCAGAAGUACGAUGGAUCACCAAAAACCUUGUCAGGAGAGACUUUAAGACAGUCAUCCUUUGCAGGACCAUUUCUGGAGGAAUGUUCCUUGUCUAUGUUUUACUCACAUCUUCUGUGCCAUCAAAGUUAUGCUGGGAUCUCGAAAGCCCCACUCAGAAUUCAAGAGUGGGAAAUGACACCAAGCUGUUGGUGAAUACUAUAAACUUCAUCAUAUUUUCUAUCCCAACCCUCAGGCAAACUUAAGCUACCAUUUCCAAGCUGCAGUAGCCUUUGGUUCAUCGGCAUUAUCUCUUCAUCCUUGGAAGCAAGCUGCUGAACUAUUUCUUGUUCUACAUCUUUUACAAACCCUUUGAAGAUAGAUGACGUCACAAAUGUUGAGAUAUCAACCAUGGUAUUUAUAUCACCCCACAAGGAGUCCAUCUCAUCCACGAAGAUUAACUCAUUUUCCUUCCGAAGAAGUUCUAUCCUGAAUACUGGCAUUUCCGUUGGUGUCACUGAGUGGCAAACCCAAGCUCUGUUCCAGCCUGCAUAGCGGCACUUCCGUUGGUGCCACUGAGUCGAACAUCCAAGCAGAAUGGGAAGAUACAAAAUAAGGACAUCAAAGCAACUGACUACAGCUGUAAUUAGAACAAAAUUCAUCUGACAACUGCAUGGAACAUGUUAUACCGAACUUCUAACACUCUACAUGCUACAUUGCUACUACAUCUCACUUCAUGUGGAGCAACUGAACAUAAGGACAGAAGCAUCAGUACAGUCCAAAUACUCUACAUGCUACACCUGACUUCAUGUGGAGCAACUGAACGAACGAGCUAUGACAUGAGACUGAGAUUCAGAAUCCACUGUAGCUCAACUGUUAGUGUUGAUCGUGUUAGUGAUCAGACUCCGGUGUAUCUCAGCCGAUUCUACUCUACUCCAAUGGGGAUACUCAUCAUGUAACUGCUGACGGGAUUAGUAUUAUUAAUACUGAAAGAUUUGUUUUAGUUA
Molecule: long non-coding RNA, 3604 nt
Organism: Hordeum vulgare subsp. vulgare (domesticated barley)
Lineage: Eukaryota; Viridiplantae; Streptophyta; Magnoliopsida; Poales; Poaceae
Exons: 2
Source: RefSeq, a predicted model, not a curated record